GAUGAACGCUAGCGGGAGGCCUAAUACAUGCAAGUCGAACGGUAACAGGUAGCAAUACGCUGACGAGUGGCGCACGGGUGCGUAACGCGUACACAAUCUGCCUUAUACUGGGGCAUAGCCUUUGGAAACGAAGAAUAAUUCCCCAUAACAUAUAGAAGAGGCAUCUCUUUUAUAUUAAAGCUCAGGCGGUACAAGAUGAGUGUGCGUCCGAUUAGGUAGUUGGUGAGGUAACGGCUCACCAAGCCAACGAUCGGUAGCUGGUCUGAGAGGAUGAUCAGCCACACGGGCACUGAGACACGGGCCCGACUCCUACGGGAGGCAGCAGUAGGGAAUAUUGGACAAUGGGCGCAAGCCUGAUCCAGCCAUCCCGCCGUGAAGGAUGAAGGUCCUCUGAGUUGUAAACUUCUUUUCUUCGGGAAUAAAAACUAGGGUUGUCCUCAGCUUG
This 445-nucleotide ribosomal RNA is filed under the name uncultured bacterium. RNAcentral describes it as "bacterial SSU rRNA". It matches the Rfam family "Bacterial small subunit ribosomal RNA", at positions 28 to 471 of the family's 1533-position model. The record is from RNAcentral.